AUGAAAAGAGGAGGAUGGUCUAGCCCCCCGACGGGAUUUGUUAAACUUAACGUUGAUGCUUCUUUUGACCACGACCUUCUCAGGGGUACGAUCGGGGCGGUCGUAAGAGAUGACAAAGGUAGGUUCAUCGGUGGGGGAAAUGGUAAGAUUGACUGGUGUGCAGAUGUGUUGAUGGCUGAAGCUUUGGCAUUAAAAUUUGGUCUAUCGCUUGCGCAAAGGAUGGGUUGUAAUCGCAUAAUUAUUAACUCGGAUAAUAUGGAGGUGAUCGAGACCAUGAACAAAGGAGGACGAUCGUCGGGGGCAGCAGCAGCAAUUUUUUAUGACUGUUUUCACUUAGCUUGCGAUUUUCCUAUUUCUAGAUUCCAGCAUUGUAAUAGAGAAGCAAAUAAAGUUGCUCGUGAACUUGCCAAGUUGGCUAGAUUUUCCUUCAUUUCUGAUUGGCUCGAGGAACCACAUAAUGCAAUUGUACCAAUCCUCAUAAACGAUGUAAUGAAUAUUUCUAAUGAAUAA
This 510-nucleotide ribosomal RNA is filed under the name Triticum aestivum (bread wheat). RNAcentral's name for it is "partial small subunit ribosomal RNA". Lineage: Eukaryota; Viridiplantae; Streptophyta; Magnoliopsida; Poales; Poaceae. The record is from RNAcentral.